CGGAUAUGGCGAAAUUGGUAGACGCGCCAGACUUAGGAUCUGGUGGGAAACCGUGGGGGUUCGAGUCCCUUUAUCCGC
Molecule: transfer RNA, 78 nt
Filed under: human gut metagenome
Rfam family: tRNA
About the family: Transfer RNA (tRNA) molecules are approximately 80 nucleotides in length. Their secondary structure includes four short double-helical elements and three loops (D, anti-codon, and T loops).
Source: RNAcentral